This 235-nucleotide unclassified non-coding RNA is filed under the name Glomeraceae sp. RNAcentral's name for it is "partial contains 5.8S ribosomal RNA and internal transcribed spacer 2". The stretch from base 1 to 71 matches the Rfam family "5.8S ribosomal RNA", at positions 84 to 154 of the family's 154-position model. The record is from RNAcentral. Lineage: Eukaryota; Fungi; Glomeromycota; Glomeromycetes; Glomerales; Glomeraceae.
GUGAAUCAUCGAAUCUUUGAACGCAAAUUGCACUCUCUGGUAUUCCGGAGAGUAUGCCUGUUUGAGGGUCAGUUUAAAUAAAAAUCGGUGUGGUUGCUGCCCUUCGUGGUGACGCACCGUAUUUGGGUCGUCUUGCCUUCGGUUAAGUGACUUAAAAUUUUGCAUGAUUUUUUUCUAUCGUAUUUAAAUAAUUUUACUUACUUUUUCUAUUCCGAAUACUAGGUUUUUUCUUCCU